GGGAGUGGGGGCUUCUGCGCUGGCAUUGGCCAGAGGAAAGUCCGGGCACCAGGGGGUAGGCGGUCCUCCGCAAGGGGGAGCAGGCUACCGCAAGGUCGCCUGACGGAUAGGGCCACAGAAACCAUACCACCCCAUUGGGGUAAGGGUGAAACCGGAGGGUAAGAGCCUCCGCUAGGGUAACCCCCCGCCGGUGCAAGGCCAAACAGCCGGCAAUGACCACCCCCAUAGCCGGCGGGUAGGCCGCUCAGAUAAAUGCAGAAGUAGACACAGAACCCGGCUUACUACCCGCUCCCCACG
RNAcentral lists this RNase P RNA (297 nucleotides) under Bacteroidota bacterium. Its description in RNAcentral is "RNase P RNA component class A". It matches the Rfam family "Bacterial RNase P class A". From Rfam's summary of the family: Ribonuclease P (RNase P) is a ubiquitous endoribonuclease, found in archaea, bacteria and eukarya as well as chloroplasts and mitochondria. The record is from RNAcentral. Lineage: Bacteria; Pseudomonadati; Bacteroidota.